GUUGUACUCCCUCCGUCCUAAAAUUCUUGUCUUAAAUUUGUCUAAAUCCGGAUGUAUCUAGUUACAUUUUAGUGUUAGAUACAUCCGUAUCUAAACAAAUGUAAGACAAUAAUUGUGGGACGGAGGGAAUACUAC
Non-coding RNA from Triticum urartu, 135 nucleotides. NCBI's taxonomy places the organism in Eukaryota, Viridiplantae, Streptophyta, Magnoliopsida, Poales, Poaceae. The record is from Rfam.